CUGAGCCAAAUACUUCCUCAGUCUAACAAGUUCGUCCCCGUCGAUUCUCGUUGCGCAAAGUUCAUGUACAUCAGAGAGCAGCUCGCAGGCUAUAAGGGUAGAUACACCACCACCGCCGACCGAACUGGAAUGGAUAUUUUCAUAUUGGGUAUGCAAUCUUAUUUUCAAUGAGAGACGCAAUAUCUCCGAGGGAAGUUUUGAAAGUGAAAUCAAGUAAAAUUUCGGUAACGAAAAAACAAUCGUGUGCAGGGCAUUAAGUGACACUUGUGAUUAAUAAAUUUGUUAAAUUCUAGUAAGGUGUAAUUUUUAUUUUGACGAAAUACUGGCAAAGGUAUUGAUCGAAGGUAAUUCUUGCAAAGAAUGUGUGAACGCUAGAAAGUGAUCACGCGCUAACGGAAUAAAGGUGAGACGUACAAACGUAAAAAGUUACGUUAAUCAAAACCACAGACAUGAGAUCAUAUUUUCAGAUUGUGGUCGACCACUGUGUCGUUAUAAAAUUCUAUAUUGUUACUUCUUUAUUUGAUUUCAAUAAACAAAAAAUAAUUUAAUAAUA
Bombus huntii is the source of this 553-nucleotide long non-coding RNA. RefSeq lists it as uncharacterized. The transcript has 2 exons. Lineage: Eukaryota; Metazoa; Arthropoda; Insecta; Hymenoptera; Apidae. The record is from RefSeq and is a predicted model, not a curated record.